CAGAAGGCGACGUUGGUGUUGGUGAGGUAGAGCGUGCCGGCGACGGGGCCCGUGGCCGUGGAGAGGUAGCAGGCGAACGUCUUCUUCACGUGCUCGUCGGGGCCGGAGCCGAAGGUCUGCUUGUAGAGCUUCUCGAAGCCGCCCCCCGUGAUCGCCUUCGCCCCCAGGCUCAGCUUCCCCAUCGCCGCGUCCGACAUGGACGGCGCCGUCUUCACUGCAACAAAGAACGAAGAAGAAAACACAACGGUGUGAGCAGAGCAUCACCAUGAUGGAGAUGGAGGGAGAGGUUGGGUCGGUUUGUGCUUACGGUUGAGCCAGAUGUUGGAGGAGAGCUCCUCGGCCUUGCGGCUCCAGGUGUUGAAGAAGUCGAGGAUGUGCUCCAUGGGGCUGUCCCUGGC
Molecule: long non-coding RNA, 398 nt
Filed under: Hordeum vulgare
Lineage: Eukaryota; Viridiplantae; Streptophyta; Magnoliopsida; Poales; Poaceae
Description: long non-coding RNA (HVUL_LNC014278)
Source: RNAcentral